AGGGAAUCUUCGGCAAUGGACGGAAGUCUGACCGAGCAACGCCGCGUGAGUGAAGAAGGUUUUCGGAUCGUAAAGCUCUGUUGUAAGAGAAGAACGAGUGUGAGAGUGGAAAGUUCACACUGUGACGGUAUCUUACCAGAAAGGGACGGCUAACUACGUGCCAGCAGCCGCGGUAAUACGUAGGUCCCGAGCGUUGUCCGGAUUUAUUGGGCGUAAAGCGAGCGCAGGCGGUUAGAUAAGUCUGAAGUUAAAGGCUGUGGCUUAACCAUAGUACGCUUUGGAAACUGUUUAGCUUGAGUGCAAGAGGGGAGAGUGGAAUUCCAUGUGUAGCGGUGAAAUGCGUAGAUAUAUGGAGGAACACCGGUGGCGAAAGCGGCUCUCUGGCUUGUAACUGACGCUGAGGCUCGGAAGCGUGGGGAGCAAACAGGAUUAGAUACCCUGGUAGUCCACGCCGUAAACGAUGAGUGCUAGGUGUUAGACCCUUUCCGGGGUUUAGUGCCGUAGCUAACGCAUUAAGCACUCCGCCUGGGGAGUACGACCGCAAGGUUG
This 549-nucleotide ribosomal RNA is filed under the name uncultured bacterium. Its description in RNAcentral is "bacterial SSU rRNA". It matches the Rfam family "Bacterial small subunit ribosomal RNA", at positions 356 to 896 of the family's 1533-position model. The record is from RNAcentral.